GACGAACGCUGGCGGCGUGCCUAAUACAUGCCAGUAGAACGCUGAAGCGAGGAGCUUGCUCUUCUUGGAUGAGUUGCGAACGGGUGAGUAACGCGUAGGUAACCUGCCUUGUAGCGGGGGAUAACUAUUGGAAACGAUAGCUAAUACCGCAUAACAAUGGAUGACCCAUGUCAUUUAUUUGAAAGGGGCAAAUGCUCCACUACAAGAUGGACCUGCGUUGUAUUAGCUAGUAGGUGAGGUAACGGCUCACCUAGGCGACGAUACAUAGCCGACCUGAGAGGGUGAUCGGCCACACUGGGACUGAGACACGGCCCAGACUCCUACGGGAGGCAGCAGUAGGGAAUCUUCGGCAAUGGGGGCAACCCUGACCGAGCAACGCCGCGUGAAUGAAGAAGGUUUUCGGAUCGUAAAGCUCUGUUGUAAGUCAAGAACGAGUGUGAGAGUGGAAAGUUCACACUGUGACGGUAGCUUACCAGAAAGGGACGGCUAACUACGUG
RNAcentral lists this ribosomal RNA (497 nucleotides) under uncultured bacterium. RNAcentral describes it as "partial 16S ribosomal RNA". It matches the Rfam family "Bacterial small subunit ribosomal RNA", at positions 28 to 507 of the family's 1533-position model. The record is from RNAcentral.